GAUUCCAGCAUUGGGUCUUACACAUGGCAGCAGAUGUAGAAGGCAGCUCAGAUAACAGUGCAGCAGAGCAAGCUUUCUGUGCAGUCCAAUCCCUCUCCACAGUUGAGGGAAGUGAUGGAAGUGGAAAACUCCGAGAAUGUCCCAAGCCCGACACAUCCUCCAGCUGUAAUCAAUGCUGCGGAUGAUGAUGAGCUGUUUCCUCAGGAGGGAAAAGAAACAAAACCACCUGUCCAGCAACCAGCUGAAGGAAACCAUCAUGGAUUGCGGAUCAUUUCCACUAGGAAAUCUAAUGCUGAGACCAAACAAGGUAUUCCAGGAUGAAUCAGAAGAACUUGCCAAUUAACUCCAAAGCAAUUCAUUGUACAAACACUAAAGAACAUGGGGUUGCUUAAUGGACUCAGCUCCUUCCAUGAUCUUGUUCCUACCUAUUAACUUCAUGUGCCUUUCAGAUUAGGAAGGACAACUCCUUUGUUUACAUCAUAAAAGCAAGACGAGGCCACAGGACAGAGUUUAAGCGCCUGUAUGUGCAUCUUUUCAACCACUGGUGAAAGCCAUGUUUGCUGAUAGAGGAAUUUAAUGUCACGUGGAUGGGUUAAAGUAAGGGAUAAGGCCUACUUUUUAUAUCCAGAACGAUGAAAGGAGGCAGUCUGCAGAGCUGUGGUCUUCAGCGUGUGCCUCUGUCCCUCAGUCUCAUUCACUGCUCUGUGUUCCCAGAUCACAGUUUGAAUUUUGGAAUGAAAACACUCGAAGAAAUCAAAGUGAAGAAACAAAAGGACAAAACAAGAAAACAAAGCACACUGUCUGUUUGUUCACUUGGAUCAGAAGGUCCUUCAGGAGUUCCUGCUCAUCCGCCCCAAUCUCGGACUGUUCCUGUGCCAGAGGAGAAUAUGCAGACAGUGGUCAGAGCUGUGACGCUGUCUGCAAAGCAGGGUAAUGCUGAGUCCCAUUGUUUCCAUGUUGUGGCUCCUAAGUGGAGUGGAUCAAUAACAGUCAAGGGAGUUGGGCCAUGUUAUUCUGCUGGUGCUGCUUUUUUGUAUUCAGAAAAUGCUUUUAUACUGAAAGUCUGUGGUUGUGUUGGAAAGGUUGGCUCUUGUAGGUGCUCUGUUCUGUUGGAAUAAAGGAUCAAGAAGCAAUUUCUGUGAACCUCUGGUGAGCUGUUUGUUACUGCUACUUGCAAACUCCCAGAGGUGCUGACCCUAUGCCUGCUGUGCUACUGAAAUGGAGUGGUGUUAAUAAGCUGACAGUGAUGACAAAACUAGUGCUCAGAUGAAGAACAGCGGCAGGAUUGAGGGGCUAAUGGUGGAGUAAUUGUCAGUGUGCAGCUCAGGAGCCAACUCAAAACCAGAGUAACUUGGAAAUGAGAGGGAAGAGCCCAGGGGGUGGUGCUGCACAAAGAGCUUUGGAGCCACUGAAGAGUUAAAGUGAGGAAUGAAACAAGAGGGACUUACUCUGAGUGCAUUCCAGUUGCAAUAUUAUUUUGUGUCAAGGCUGUCCAAGUGGUGUCUUUUGGGUGUACUUUUUGGUUGGGAAACUAGCUGACAGGACAGUAAUUCUUUUGGCUGCUGGUUUCUGUCAAAGAAGCACUUUGUUUUUCUUUGUUUUAGGGGAGGAGCCCGUGAUUCGAUGGAAUACUACUGAGAAACCUGGAAAACGGAAAUCCUCUGUAGCCUGGAACUGCAGCUGGGAAGCCAAGCAGACUGUGUGGAGCAGUUGGAGGACUCGAGUUCAGCUUCUUCCCAAUCAGUGGCCAAAGCGCAGCAGCUGAGCUCCACUGGGGCUGGGAAGACCCCCUUAUCUGUGGAAUAUGACUUCAGAAAGCUCAUCUGGGAAGUCUCAGGAGGGAAACUGGAAGCAGAAAUUGACUUGGACCCAGGGAAGGAUGUGGAUGAGCUCCUUCUUGAACUUGCUGAGAUGAUUGACAGUUGAACUGUGUAGUCCUAUAGUGUAUAUGAAUAUAUAUAAAACAACAAUUAAAACCUUUUCUUUUUGGUUGGAUA
Molecule: non-coding RNA, 1997 nt
Organism: Coturnix japonica (Japanese quail)
Lineage: Eukaryota; Metazoa; Chordata; Aves; Galliformes; Phasianidae
Source: RefSeq, a predicted model, not a curated record